UAUCUCUCCGUACGGGGAAGGAUGAGAAGCUUCGACUAAAGUUCGAUUCGAGCGCAGCGAGAAAGCGUUGCCGCAGGCAACGACCCGAAGGGUGAGGAGCGGAGCGACGAAUAAUCCUUCCCCCACCACCA
This 131-nucleotide small RNA is filed under the name Salmonella enterica. RNAcentral describes it as "RtT sRNA". It matches the Rfam family "RtT RNA". From Rfam's summary of the family: This family represents a bacterial cis-regulatory element known as RtT RNA. The exact function of RtT is unknown although it is thought that it may be involved in changing the cellular response in relation to amino acid starvation. RNAcentral also lists the same sequence under 3 other names. The record is from RNAcentral. Lineage: Bacteria; Pseudomonadati; Pseudomonadota; Gammaproteobacteria; Enterobacterales; Enterobacteriaceae.